GCGCACCAUCCUUUUUCCUCAAGCAUGGGCGCGUGGACGGAGAAAUUUUUGGGAGCUCCGAAUCUCCAAAGCAGAUUUGCUUGCCGAUGUAAUCCCGCCUGCUCAGAAAUGAAGUUGGCUUUUGGUAAAGGAUGACCUGAACGCAGCUGUCUGAGGACAUGUUCCCAGUUGAGGGUGAAGGAAAAGAUUUAAACUGGCUGUGAUUCACACUGCAUCACUAAGUGAAAGGCAUGACCAUGACAGUAUGAUUGCUGUGACCAGUGAAAUGAAAGUGGCUUUGGAACAGGAUGCCCUGAGCAUGGUUGUCUAAGGACAUGGUUGCAGCUCCUGGUGCGUAGGUGUACACAAAGUGCAAGAUCUGCUGGUGAAACUCUUCCAAGGUCAGGUCUCGUCUGCGCAAGGAGUCCAGGUCACACAGAUCACAAGGAAACACGGCAUCGGGCGGAAUAACAAGCGCUGAGGCCCCUGCGUUCCCAAGACAGAUUCUCAAGAACAUGUAUUAAGAGCUUGAUUUUGCCCUUUGAAACAGAGGGUGAGCUAUUAGCGAAGUGCUUAAAUGUGAGAAGAAUGCUACAUUUGUUGUAAUGUUCAAACAUAUUUAUGAAAUAAAUGUGACUUCCACUUUG
This is a long non-coding RNA of Colossoma macropomum (tambaqui), 626 nucleotides long. RefSeq lists it as uncharacterized. The record is from RefSeq and is a predicted model, not a curated record. NCBI's taxonomy places the organism in Eukaryota, Metazoa, Chordata, Actinopteri, Characiformes, Serrasalmidae. The transcript has 6 exons.